ACAAUGACUCUCGGCAACGGAUAUCUCGGCUCUCGCAUCGAUGAAGAACGUAGCGAAAUGCGAUACUUGGUGUGAAUUGCAGAUUCCCGUGAACCAUCGAGUCUUUGAACGCAAGUUGCGCCCGAAGCCAUUAGGCCGAGGGCACGUCUGGCUGGGUGUCACAC
RNAcentral lists this ribosomal RNA (164 nucleotides) under Paloue induta. RNAcentral's name for it is "5.8S ribosomal RNA". It matches the Rfam family "5.8S ribosomal RNA". From Rfam's summary of the family: 5.8S ribosomal RNA (5.8S rRNA) is a component of the large subunit of the eukaryotic ribosome. The record is from RNAcentral. Lineage: Eukaryota; Viridiplantae; Streptophyta; Magnoliopsida; Fabales; Fabaceae.